RNAcentral lists this ribosomal RNA (1237 nucleotides) under Halomonas sp. SNN-LL-2. RNAcentral's name for it is "bacterial SSU rRNA". It matches the Rfam family "Bacterial small subunit ribosomal RNA", at positions 144 to 1376 of the family's 1533-position model. The record is from RNAcentral. Lineage: Bacteria; Pseudomonadati; Pseudomonadota; Gammaproteobacteria; Oceanospirillales; Halomonadaceae.
UAACCUGGGGAAACCCAGGCUAAUACCGCAUACGUCCUACGGGAGAAAGCAGGGGAUCUUCGGACCUUGCGCUAUCGGAUGAGUCUAUGUCGGAUUAGCUUGUUGGUGAGGUAAUGGCUCACCAAGGCGACGAUCCGUAGCUGGUCUGAGAGGAUGAUCAGCCACAUCGGGACUGAGACACGGCCCGAACUCCUACGGGAGGCAGCAGUGGGGAAUAUUGGACAAUGGGCGAAAGCCUGAUCCAGCCAUGCCGCGUGUGUGAAGAAGGCCUUCGGGUUGUAAAGCACUUUCAGUGGGGAAGAAAGCCUUGGGGCUAAUACCCUCGAGGAAGGACAUCACCCACAGAAGAAGCACCGGCUAACUCCGUGCCAGCAGCCGCGGUAAUACGGAGGGUGCGAGCGUUAAUCGGAAUUACUGGGCGUAAAGCGCGCGUAGGCGGUCUGAUAAGCCGGUUGUGAAAGCCCCGGGCUCAACCUGGGAACGGCAUCCGGAACUGUCAGGCUAGAGUGCAGGAGAGGAAGGUAGAAUUCCCGGUGUAGCGGUGAAAUGCGUAGAGAUCGGGAGGAAUACCAGUGGCGAAGGCGGCCUUCUGGACUGACACUGACGCUGAGGUGCGAAAGCGUGGGUAGCAAACAGGAUUAGAUACCCUGGUAGUCCACGCCGUAAACGAUGUCGACUAGCCGUUGGGCUCCUUGAGAGCUUUGUGGCGCAGUUAACGCGAUAAGUCGACCGCCUGGGGAGUACGGCCGCAAGGUUAAAACUCAAAUGAAUUGACGGGGGCCCGCACAAGCGGUGGAGCAUGUGGUUUAAUUCGAUGCAACGCGAAGAACCUUACCUACCCUUGACAUCGUGCGAACUUUCCAGAGAUGGAUUGGUGCCUUCGGGAACGCACAGACAGGUGCUGCAUGGCUGUCGUCAGCUCGUGUUGUGAAAUGUUGGGUUAAGUCCCGUAACGAGCGCAACCCUUGUCCUUAUUUGCCAGCGAGUCAUGUCGGGAACUCUAAGGAGACUGCCGGUGACAAACCGGAGGAAGGUGGGGACGACGUCAAGUCAUCAUGGCCCUUACGGGUAGGGCUACACACGUGCUACAAUGGCCGGUACAAAGGGUUGCGAAGCCGCGAGGUGGAGCUAAUCCCGAAAAGCUGGUCUCAGUCCGGAUCGGAGUCUGCAACUCGACUCCGUGAAGUCGGAAUCGCUAGUAAUCGUGAAUCAGAAUGUCACGGUGAAUACGUUCCCG